Molecule: ribosomal RNA, 342 nt
Filed under: uncultured Pseudomonas sp.
Lineage: Bacteria; Pseudomonadati; Pseudomonadota; Gammaproteobacteria; Pseudomonadales; Pseudomonadaceae
Description: bacterial SSU rRNA
Rfam family: Bacterial small subunit ribosomal RNA
Source: RNAcentral
CUGCAUGGCUGUCGUCAGCUCGUGUCGUGAGAUGUUGGGUUAAGUCCGUAACCGAGCGCAACCCUUGUCCUUAGUUACCAGCACGUUAUGGUGGGCACUCUAAGGAGACUGCCGGUGACAAACCGGAGGAAGGUGGGGAUGACGUCAAGUCACCAUGGCCCUUACGGCCUGGGCUACACACGUGCUACAAUGGUCGGUACAAAGGGUUGCCAAGCCGCGAGGUGGAGCUAAUCCCAUAAAACCGAUCGUAGUCCGGAUCGCAGUCUGCAACUCGACUGCGUGAAGUCGGAAUCGCUAGUAAUCGUGAAUCAGAAUGUCACGGUGAAUACGUUCCCGGGCCUU